GGGGAUUUAGCUCAGUGGCAUAAGUACCUGCUUUGCAAGCAGGAGGUCGUGAGUUUGAUCCCCG
Molecule: transfer RNA, 64 nt
Filed under: Cavia porcellus (domestic guinea pig)
Lineage: Eukaryota; Metazoa; Chordata; Mammalia; Rodentia; Caviidae
Rfam family: tRNA
About the family: Transfer RNA (tRNA) molecules are approximately 80 nucleotides in length.
Source: Rfam by way of RNAcentral